Molecule: long non-coding RNA, 3648 nt
Filed under: Callithrix jacchus (white-tufted-ear marmoset)
Lineage: Eukaryota; Metazoa; Chordata; Mammalia; Primates; Cebidae
Description: lncRNA (ENSCJAG00000084087.1)
Source: RNAcentral
AUAAAAAUAUAAAAUCUGAAUAUGUCUAUAACUAUUAAACUGUUAAAUAUAUCUAAACGCCUUUCCUCUUCUUUCACUCACCCACUCCCCACCCCCCAAAAAACUUCAGAUACUUUUUAGUGAACUGUAAAAGCCUACAGAGAGAAAAAUCUGGUCACCAAUAAUGCUGUGAAUGCUGAUAACAGACUAAUCCUUAGCAACACUGAAAAAAACAUAAGGGAGCAAUGAUUCCCAAAUCAUUUUGAAUAAUUUUCUGUACCACUGGGGCAAUCCAUCAAGCAUGAGUCAAGCUGUCAAAUAAAGAACAGUUUUGGAUAUAUAAGGACUCAGGAACUUUAGUGAAACAACUUCUUUUAGGAAUUUACCUAGGGAUACACUCUAGCAAAAUGAGGGAGAAAACCAAGAAAGACAACAGAGAAAAGAUGGGCAGUAAGGACAAAACCCAGUUCAGGGGACUGGCACGUAUAGUUUAAAAUACAUAUACAGCAUAUAUAUAAACUGUUUAAUAUAAAUAUAUACAUGCAUACACAAAAGACUAAAUAUACAUACAACAAAAUGUUAAGUUUUCUGAGUGGUAAGAUAUUAGGUGAAUUAUUUAGUGCUUCUAUGUAUUUUUUAAAAUAUCAAAGAUGUAUUACUUUAUUUUUUAUGUUUUCAGAGACAGGAUCUCACUAUUUUGCCCAGGCUCGUCUCAAACUCCCGGCUCAAGCAAUUCUCUCUCCUUGGCCUCAGAAAGUACUGGGAUUACAGAAACUUUGCCGUUGCUGGUCCUAUUAGGUCGUUUUUGAAGGUGUUGGGUUCAGCAUGCAGAUGAAAUCAAGAGGCCUGAAGAUAAAGAAAUAGCUGAAAACUGGAGCCAUGAGAAUGAUUACAGAGUUUGGAAGCAGAACAUGGCAUGGAGGUUGGAAUUUUUAUUUAUUUAUUAUUUAUUUAUUUAUUUUUAAUUAAAAAAAUUUUUUUCUUUCUUUCUUUUUUUUUGACACACCCCCCCACCGGAGGUUGGAAUUUUAAAGUGUAUCUCAGAAGUCCAUGGUAGAACAGUCACAUUGGCCAGAGUGGCAGGGCUGGGAUAGGCCCAGGGUUGGUAAGUUUCCCUGAGAGAUUUAUAGAGGUAUACCAUUACCUUUUCUUCACACAUGUUCGUGUCGCUUUUGUCUCAGAAGUCACAGUGUCUCUACCAAUGGGCAUAUUUUUUCCCUGAUCUUGUCAUCUUUGCAGAAUUUGACACUUUUCACUAUUCUUUCCUCCCCGUUUCUUACUUUUUCCUUAUUAAAACGCUUUCUUCCUGGCCAGGCAUGGUGGCUUAUGCCUGGAAUUUCAACACUUUGGGAGGCUGAGGUAGGAGGAUCACUUGAGCCCAAGAGUUUGAAACCAGCGUGGGCAGCGUAGUGAGAGCUCAUCUCUAUAAAACAACAACAACAACAACAAUAACAACCCCCAAACCAAAAACUUUUUCUUUCCUUAAAUUUUGUGACUAUUCUCCCUCUUGGUUUUCCUUGUGGCUUGAUUUUUUUUUUUUGGCUUUUUGUUGUGUUUGUUUAAUGUUCUUCACAGCACUUUUCCUGCUACAAAUGUCCCUGGUGUGUCUGUAUCUCCUCUCAAUCUUAAGUCAAGUGCUAUAUCUUAUUUCUAGACAUUUUUCCUAAGUUUCAUUUCAGAAUGUUGUCUAUAAUGAAUCUCAGUAUUUUCUGCUCUUUCCUCCCAACGCUGCUCUUCCUUCAUAUUUUUGGACCUAAAAUUAUAGCACUUUACUUAAUCCUCCAAGACAUAAAUCUAAACUCCUCUUUCUGCUUCAUUAUCAAUAGUAGAUUAAGUAUACUGCUUUUACCACUUUCUAAACCAGUGGUUCUCAACAUGGGGUUUGCAGAUCACAAGGAGGAGCUCACCUAGGAACCUGUUAGAAAUUUAAAAUUUCAGGCACCACUUCAGGCUUACUGAACUCAAAACUCUGGAGAUGGGGCCAGCAAUCUGAUGUAACCUGCCCAUGGGCUGAUUCUGACGCACGCUGAAGUCUGAGAACUGUUCAAAACUAGUCGUUAAUCCGAGAGAUCUACGGUUAGGCUUAAGGAGGACAAAAAGCAUCAGUAAUGGUAGCUAAAACUGAGUGAAUGUCCAUAAAUAUUUUUCUGAGUGGACAGCUUUUAUUCCUUUUCUCAUCAAAUGAGUUCGAUGAAUCUCAAAUUUGAGGCUGUUCCUUGCUUUCCAUUACUACCACCUCGUCUUACCUUUGUUCAGGACCUCAUUAUAGCUUUUUCAGAUUAUUACAAUAACCUACCCAGUUUCUUUGCCUCUAGUCUGUACCCCUUCCAGUGUACUCCAGGUUGCAGUGACAGUCAUCACUUUUUUCCCCCUUCCCUCCCUCCUUUCAUUCUUUUUUGAGACAGGGUCUUACUCUGACACCGAGGCUGGAGUGCAGUGGCACAAUCACAACCCAUUUUUACUGUAGCCUCAACCCCCAGGCUCAAGCAGUCCUCUCACUUCAGCCCAGCAAUAACAGACUUUGAAUCUUCUGGAAAUAUAUGGGGAAAAUCUGAUCUCAUAAAGAUAAGGAGUUAGAAAAGGGAAAACUAUUUUACAGCCUUUCCAGAUAGUUCUAGAUAUUUUUUGAUACUGUGCUAAACUUACAUGUGGUAGUUUCUUAGCCUGCAUUACAACGUGGACUGAUCUGAAACCACAUCAGUUAAGCACUGAAAUCCAUCAGCCUUCCCAGUAGCUGGAACUGCAGGCAAGCAUCACCAGGCCUGGCUAAUUUUUUGUUUGGUAGAGACGGGUUCUCUCCAUGUUGCCCAGCCUGGUCUCAAACUCCUGGGCUCAAGUAAUCCUUCUGCCCUAGUCUUCCAAAGUCCUGGAAUUACAGGGAUAUGCCACCGCCCAUGGCCAGUCAUUUUAGAACAUGAAUCUGAUUGUGGUCACUCUUCAGCUCCAAGGUCUUCAGUGGCUCCCAGCUUAUGAUAAAGUAACCUCUACCAUGACAAAUAAUACGCUUAUUUUUGCAUGGGUAUUUAUGCAAAAAUAAAGGCUUAUUCAUUUGCACGUAUCUUUAGUCAUUCCCAGCCCAUCAACAUUAGACUCUGAAUCUUCUGGACCUCACUGGAGCUCUCUUUUAACUCCCUGCCUUUAUAUAUCCUACCUGCUCAGUCUGGAAUGCCCUAUACUGCUCCUCCUUCCCUCCUUGCCUAAUUCCUGUUUGUUCAAUGUUUAGCUCAAGCAAUACUUCUGGGAAGUCUUCCAUUAGAACUAAGUUUAAGAGGCCCUCCUGUGUGCUCUGAAUUCCCCCAUGCUUAUCCCUAUGGUAAUAACAGUUCUCAAACAUUUUGGUCUUAGGAUCCCUUUACACUUCUUUUUUUUGAGAUGGAGUCCCACUCUGUCACCAGGCUGGAAUGCAGUGGACCGAUCUCAGCUCACUGUAACCUCCAUCUCCUGGGUUCAAGCAAUUCUCCUGCCUCAGCCUCCUGAGUAGCUGGGAUUAAAGGCAAGCGCCACCAUGCUCAGCUAAUUUUUGUAUUUUUAGUAGAGACGGGGUUUCACCAUGUUGGCUAGGAUGGUCUUGAUCUCUUGACCUCGUGAUCCACCCGCCUCAGCCUCCCAAAGUGCUGGGAUUACAAGCGUGAGACACUGUGCCCGGCCCCUUUACACUGACUUUAAGAU